ACUGCCUGAGAUUUUAAGUUUAUUUUUCCUGAGAUGAAAGCUGUUCCAGAAAGUCUCUCACUCUCAGCAAAUCCAAGACCAAGGCUGGGAGCCAUAAGAAUUAGCUGCAGGUGCUGAGGGUUUAGAAACUGCUGAAGGGACGAAAGACCAAGGUGUUGGCUCCAGACAGUGACUACAAGUCUUUGGAGUGACAAAAAACAUUGCUUGGACCCCUUGAAGAUCUGUGAUGAUAAAGAUCAUUCUUUUUACCUGUGUUAUUUAACAGGCUGAGGAACCCUUGAUUUGGGAACACAAGGAAUCUCCUCAGGAAACAAAAGUAUCCCAGAUGCUAGCACACCUGGUAACACAUCCAUAGAGCUGGCCUCUCACAGCAGCAUAGGUGUUUGUGUCACACUUUUCACAUGCUGCUGUUUGCCAACCCAGAGUGCUCUUGGAGAGUUGUGUCCCAGUGAAAAGAUUGGAAAUCCAAUAAUUCCUUGCACUACAGCUGGUGGGACUGCGGCCUUUCUGAUUUUUGUAGCAGCUUCCAGUUCAUGUGUGUGGAAGUGGCCAGGGCAGAGAAUGGGGUCCAUGCCACCCAGAAAUCCUCUUCCCUUGCAGUUUGGUGCUUCACUCAUGAGCCUGUUCAUAGCUCCAUGGGUUUUUAAAAGGAGAUUGGAAAGGUUUGAUGAAACAGAGAGAGAGAAACAGUUUGCAGAAGCACAAAAACAAAUCUACAGAAAUGUUGAUGGAGGUGACACAACUCAUCCCUUCACCUAAAGCCUGAAUGAUGCUUUGGAGGGUGUAGAAUUAAGAAGGCUAUAAAAUACCAUGAAGUGGCAGAGGAAAGAUUAUUCAAUUGGAAUGAAAAAAGGAAGAGGACAGGAGAGAAAGCCCACUGUAUGGA
Long non-coding RNA from Zonotrichia albicollis (white-throated sparrow), 886 nucleotides. The record is from Ensembl. NCBI's taxonomy places the organism in Eukaryota, Metazoa, Chordata, Aves, Passeriformes, Passerellidae.